This 501-nucleotide ribosomal RNA is filed under the name uncultured bacterium. Its description in RNAcentral is "partial 16S ribosomal RNA". It matches the Rfam family "Bacterial small subunit ribosomal RNA", at positions 30 to 523 of the family's 1533-position model. The record is from RNAcentral.
AUUGAACGCUGGCGGCAGGCUUAACACAUGCAAGUCGAGCGGGGGAAGGUAGCUUGCUACCGGACCUAGCGGCGGACGGGUGAGUAAUGCUUAGGAAUCUGCCUAUUAGUGGGGGACAACAUCUCGAAAGGGAUGCUAAUACCGCAUACGUACUACGGGAGAAAGCAGGGGAUCUUCGGACCUUGCGCUAAUAGAUGAGCCUACGUCGGAUUAGCUAGUUGGUGGGGUAAAGGCCUACCAAGGCGACGAUCUGUAGCGGGUCUGAGAGGAUGAUCCGCCACACUGGGACUGAGACACGGCCCAGACUCCUACGGGAGGCAGCAGUGGGGAAUAUUGGACAAUGGGGGGAACCCUGAUCCAGCCAUGCCGCGUGUGUGAAGAAGGCCUUAUGGUUGUAAAGCACUUUAAGCGAGGAGGAGGCUACUUUAGUUAAUACCUAGAGAUAGUGGACGUUACUCGCAGAAUAAGCACCGGCUAACUCUGUGCCAGCAGCCGCGGUAA